RNAcentral lists this ribosomal RNA (497 nucleotides) under uncultured bacterium. Its description in RNAcentral is "partial 16S ribosomal RNA". It matches the Rfam family "Bacterial small subunit ribosomal RNA", at positions 27 to 506 of the family's 1533-position model. The record is from RNAcentral.
GGAUGAACGCUGGCGGCGUGCCUACUCCAUGCAAGUCGAGCGAACGGACGAGAAGCUUGCUUCUCUGAUGUUAGCGGCGGACGGGUGAGUAACACGUGGAUAACCUACCUAUAAGACUGGGAUAACUUCGGGAAACCGUAGCUAAUACCGGAUAAUAUUUUGAACCGCAUGGUUCAAAAGUGAAAGACGGUCUUGCUGUCACUUAUAGAUGGAUCCGCGCUGCAUUAGCUAGUUGGUAAGGUAACGGCUUACCAAGGCAACGAUGCAUAGCCGACCUGAGAGGGUGAUCGGCCACACUGGAACUGAGACACGGUCCAGACUCCUACGGGAGGCAGCAGUAGGGAAUCUUCCGCAAUGGGCGAAAGCCUGACGGAGCAACGCCGCGUGAGUGAUGAAGGGCUUCGGAUCGUAAAACGCUGUUAUUAGGGAAGAACAUAUGUGUAAGUAACUGUGCACAUCUUGACGGUACCUAAUCAGAAAGCCACGGCUAACUACGU